This 116-nucleotide ribozyme is filed under the name Aedes aegypti (yellow fever mosquito). Its description in RNAcentral is "drz-agam-1 ribozyme". It matches the Rfam family "drz-agam-1 ribozyme". The record is from Rfam by way of RNAcentral. Lineage: Eukaryota; Metazoa; Arthropoda; Insecta; Diptera; Culicidae.
UACCCAGGAACUCCUAUCCCUACCUCCUUGUGGUACUGGCUAGGGUACGAGUAACCUUGGGGAAGAUCGGGUAACCAACCCCGGUGGGAACUUUGGUCGUAUGCUGACAGGGAAGG